AAAUCAUGGGUUUUGGCGACUACCCUAUUGAGUAUAAUCCAAAAAUUCAUGGAGUGUAUGAUCCAGCACGCUUCUAUGGCAAACGUAAGUAUUUCGUC
Molecule: long non-coding RNA, 98 nt
Organism: Clunio marinus
Lineage: Eukaryota; Metazoa; Arthropoda; Insecta; Diptera; Chironomidae
Rfam family: Sphinx_ conserved region 1
Source: Rfam